AGUGAACGCUGGCGGUAGGCCUAACACAUGCAAGUCGAACGGCAGCACAGUAAGAGCUUGCUCUUACGGGUGGCGAGUGGCGGACGGGUGCGGAAUACAUCUGAAUCUACUUUUUCGUGGGGGAUAACGUAGGGAAACUUACGCUAAUACCGCAUACGACCUACGGGUGAAAGCAGGGGAUCUUCGGACCUUGCGCGAUUGAAUGAGCCGAUGUCGGAUUAGCUAGUUGGCGGGGUAAAGGCCCACCAAGGCGACGAUCCGUAGCUGGUCUGAGAGGAUGAUCAGCCACACUGGAACUGAGACACGGUCCAGACUCCUACGGGAGGCAGCAGUGGGGAAUAUUGGACAAUGGGCGCAAGCCUGAUCCAGCCAUACCGCGUAGGUGAAGAAGGCCUUCGGGUUGUAAAGCCCUUUUGUUGGGAAAGAAAAGCAGCAGGUUAAUACCCCGCUGUUCUGACGGUACCCAAAGAAUAAGCACCGGCUAACUUCGUG
Molecule: ribosomal RNA, 492 nt
Filed under: uncultured bacterium
Lineage: Bacteria
Description: partial 16S ribosomal RNA
Rfam family: Bacterial small subunit ribosomal RNA
Source: RNAcentral